UGUUUUUUCCUCUGUGUGUGUGUGUUGGCAACAUGUCUUGAUGCAUUUGCCAUCGCUUUGGUGAAGCCUAUUCUCUCAUUAGAUGCUUUCCCAUUAGAUGUGCUCUGUCUCUGCUCUGGGAGACGAUCCUGGGGCUUUAAGUUCUCAGUAGGGUCGCAAGGACUCAUUGUUUCUCCGGCUCUGGAAUCCAAGCUGUGCCACAUUGCUCCAGGUUGCUAGGUGACCACCUCCAUGCUGGCAUUCUUCAAAGCUGAAUAGGACCCUUUUCAAUUCCCAAGAAGUUUUUGAAGUUUCUCUCUCCAGAGGCCCUUUCUCCCUUGCACUUCUCUGUUGUGGAAAGGGGAUUACCUUCCAACUCCUUCAUAUCAGCAGGAGGUGAUGGAAAAUUCUCCCUUGACAACAAAGUCAGCUGCAAAUCCAAGAAAACUCAAGGGCAUAGAGACAUGGACAAAGAUCAACUGUCUGCAUGACCGGAGCUGAUUGCACCCCUGUCUUGCUUUUUUCCUACAAGACCAUAGAACUGGUUUGGGAUUAAUCAUUGUAGUCUCACUGGAAGAAAAAUCCUGAUCUCUUAGGAUCCAGAAAACAGAAGGUUAAGAUGCUGAAUUUCCUUUAAGUUCAGGCUGGAGGGUGGAUCCAUUCUCUUUAGAUAGUAGCCUAUAGAUAUUGACACUAUUUUUUAUUUUAUUUUUACAAAGCAGCUGAUUGGUUUAACAGUGUUGUUAAAAAUAUAGUGCAAAGAUACUAUCAAAUUUUUUUUUCCUGAUUUAUGAAAGGCCAGAGUAGAUGCGAUGCUUGUGAUAAGAGGGAGAAAAGCAAGGAAAGAAAAUAAAAGUGAAGAAAAUGAAGUACUUUUUGAUUGCUGGCUUGUCCAGUUGUACUGGAAAUCUACUUGUACAGGUAUGCAUUCCUAUGCACACUCCAUUGCUCUUGGCGUCUGUUGCUACGUAGUUUGCUCUUAUCCGAAAGUACUACCAUGUACUUGUUUCUUGAGUGAUAUUUCUUAAUCAGUGUUAUAAGAAGUUAAAGUUGCAUUUCUCACCUGGCAGUAAGCCUCAAUGAACUCAAUGGAACUUUCUUCUGAACACAGCUGCGUAGGAUUGCAGUGUAAGGUAAGAAUCACAAGACAAACUUUUCAGGAGAUGGCAGAGUCAGUUAAUAUCUCAAUAUAAAAAUAGUGCAGAGUUUUUAAUAAACAGACCUAUGUUUACACUUACACCUUAUUAAAUGCAAUACUCAGAAAAAGUCCUACUGAGCUUACUUCUUAGCAUUGCAGCCUGAAUGCUUUUGCUUAUACAAGAACGUGAUCAGAAUGUAUGUAAAUAUAAAAAUACCUAGGUUAGCCAGCACAGGAAUGGGCGUCUUGACCAGGAGAGGGCAGGGAAACGUUCUUUUUGCAUUUGCAGAGCUUUGCAAAGGGUUUCAUCUUUGAAUCAUUCCUCUAAAACAUCUCCUUUCCAAAGGCAGGAUACUGGCUAGUUCUGACUUUUCACCUAUUCCACUAUGACCCUUACAAUGAGCAAGUCAUUAGUGAAAUGCACAUCAUCAAUAUGGCAGGAAGUUUGUUUGUCAAAGGUUAUAUAUUCCACAAAACCUACCAUCCGGAGAAUGCAUACACUGCAUGCCCUCAGACACACACGUGAGGUGAACCAUAGUGAUAGAGGAAAGAGUUUUCCCCAUUCAAGUGGGGGGGACUAACCUUUCUUCCACCUCUCUGGUGCGGACGCCAAUGUAUGGGCUGAAGGUGUCCCAAGAACAUGUGCAAGAAUGUCCAUGUUCUCCCUGCAUAAUUGUAAUGCUGCUUUGGCCCAUCAGGUGGCAGCAUCUCUUUAGGUUGCCAUAUGAUUUAUUGACAGCAAAGCCCAAAGUAAUGCGUUCUGUGUGAGGCUGCCCUUAGGGACCAGUCUGAAAGCCGCAGCAGCUCCAAAAGGCAGGGGCUAAGGUACUGAGCCAGGCAUUCUAUCAUGUAGCUGUUAUACCACUCUUAAACCUGGCCAGGUUUAAGGUUUUAGUUUUGCACUGCAAAACCCUAAACUAGUGACCAGCUUACUCAAAGGAGGGCCUUUGUCAGUCUGCCCAAUCACUAAGAUCAUUGGAUGAAUCCCUCCUGGCUAUGCUGUGUCCUAUAAAUGCUUUUUUAGAGGUGACAAGAGGAAAGGCCUUAUUAGUGGUGGCACCCGCUCUGUAGAAUCACCUCCCCUCUGAUUUGCAGCAAUUGCCUACACCGUUGCAAUUUUGGCGUGUGCUGCAAACCCCGUCUGUUCUCUGAGGUCCUUGUUGGCCACCAAUACCAGCUAGUUUCUUUUUAACUUAACUUUCUGUUUGCUUAGCAGCUACAUUUUAUUCUCAAUUGUACUUUUGUUGUACUUCUUGGUUUUGUACACUUCUGGAUGUUGUUUAUGAAAAGCAAUAUAGAAAUGUGUUCAUAGAUUAUUAGUUUUAAUGCACUCUUUUCACAAAAUAGCAUUGCAAUAUGUGAUGUUGCAAAAGUGCCACAAUCUGAGAUAUGGUGUACCAUCUUUCGUACAGCUGUCAGUCACCGUGUAAGUGUGGGAGUGUGUGUGUGAUCCAAUCUGACUUGUGCUGCAAUGGAAAGCAGAAUACCCAAGCGCUGUUCAUAUGCAAAUCUUUUCUCCAGAGUGCAUUAGGGAAUCAGGGGGGAAUCAGACCAGGAGGAGGAAGCCCUGUGCCACUUAGCCAAUGCUCUGGUCUUCUGCUCCUUGACCCAGAAAGGUUGGUGAUCCCUAAUUUAGCACAUCCAGUCUGCUUUCAAUAUCAUUACAAUAACAAAGCAAGACAAAAGGGGAUGGUUUGUGCUCUCUCUCAUUGUGUCCGUUGCUGUUUCCUCCAUGCCACAUAAUAAAAGAAGAGGAAACUACUGUGGCCAUUUGAAAGCGCAUAUGAAAGUCAGUGCCUGAGGUAGAUUGACUCAAAGAUGGCCUCUCUGAGGGGUGGAGAGAUUCUUCCAUCACCAAGGAACUGUUAGGAAUUGUCCCUCUGUCAUUGCGCUGGAAUGCACUUGAAGCUACUUGAGUUCCCCAACUGUCUUUGACUCCAGCCUUCCAGCAGCUCCUAUGAAAGGAAGUGAUUGCUGAAAGACUCCUGUCUCAAACCCUAGAGAGAUGCUGCCAGUGGCUGAGUUUGGCUUAGUUUUAGGGCAUCUUUCCAUGUUCCUGAAUUCUGCUUUGAAUCGCACCUCAGGAUUGCUUCCUCCUUCCCAAAAGCUCACCCCACGUCUGCUCUUUCCUGGUCCUCCUCCCAAAUCCAUGGGCAUCUAAAGUUUGACAUGUACCACAGUAGAUAUAUGCACAUUUGCUUUUCUUCCUAAGCAUAUCGUGCUCACCGUGGAAGGAUUUUGUGAAGUCUCCUGAGACGUAUGCCAUCUACUCUGCCCAUAUGCUGCAGAUUCCCAGACUGCCAUAUGCUGUAUGUUCUUUGGCAGGGUUGAUGGAUGACAGACUUUGUAGACCAUCUCGAGGAUCUUUAUGGGGAGAUGUAUACUUCUCAUGCUUGGAUUUUCUGCUCUGGGUGCAAACGAAGAUCCAGCCUUUGAUGAAAAGCUAUACUGUUAACAGCCUCAGUAAAGCUGUGGAUGUGGCAACUGGUUAACACGGGUGUGGGUGUGCACCUUCCUCUCUAAUAAAAAUAUGCUUGAAAGCCAGGUCAGUGGGCUUGGAUGAGCAUUGCAAUUAUCAGGGCUAAGUGAGCCACCCGCAACAGAGAGAGAAGUUGGUUGCCAACGACCCAGAAACACUCCAGAGGCAGGAAGACGAUUGCUCAGGCAAAGCCUACAUAGGAAGUCUCUUAUAGUCUCUCCUAUAAGGCCCCAAUGGUUAAUUUAGGUGGGUAGGGCAAUUCAGUGCCUGAGAAGACUCCCCUUCCCCAGAACAGGACAGACGUCAGCACACAGCAUUGUGGGGCAAAGGCAAUGACCCAUGGGCCUCAAAGGGCAUACUGGGGCUGUUUCCAGGAUUGAUUUUUCAGACAUAAACUGAAAGGAGAAGUAUCAGGUGGGGAACCAUCCUGUGGGAUAUCCAGCCUCAUAUAACAAACAUGCUUAACUGUAAUGAAUCAUCACCACCAUCAUCAUAAUUUAAUUAUGUAUACCCUGCCCAUCUGGCUGGGUUUCCCCAGCCACUCUGGGCAGCUUCCAGCAAAAUAUAAAAACAUAAUAAAAUGCAUGAAGGGGUUAAGACCAUAGAGUAAGCAGUCCUGCCAGGCUCAGCUAGGUCACUCCCCAUCAUCUUGGAAGGAAGGGUUACCAAACUCUCUUGUUCUUCUUCUUUCACCAUUUGAACCUUACCGGUUAGGAGGACAAAGCUGCAUGCUCCAAGCUUAGACCGUGGGGCUUAAGCAAGCAAUCUUUGUGUUCCUAGACAAAUAAUUUAGAAACAUUUGCCAUUUUGGGAGCUUAAGUUAUACUGCCUAUCUUUUCUUGCUGCCGUGUGGAAAAGCACAUGAAUCUGACUUUGGAAGAGUUUGUAAGUAAACCAUUUUUAACUUACAAAAUGUUUGGUCUCUUUCUAUGGUCUAAAAGUGGGGAGCUAUGGAAGAAACUUAGAAAGGGAUAUUGUAAAGGUCCAGCAGUCUAGAUUUCCACACUUUGUUUUGCUGCAUUUUUGUGAUUUUAAAUCUUUGUUGGAGUUCUCUCUCACCAAAGAGUAUUUUCUUCAAACCUCCAUCUAAGCAUCCAGGGAGUUCUUCUUUUAUUUUACCUAGUGGUUUUUUUCCUAUUACCCAAAAUACAAAAACCAACACAUCACACCUAGCCACCAAAAGCUUCUGGGCCCCCCAAGGCACUGUGGGGGAGCAAAGAUGGUCAUCACUGCAGCUGCCUGACCUGGAACUCCUUUUUUGGAGCUGAAUCCUUAAAAGGAAAAACAAAAAGCUGUGCCAGAGCCUGUGCCUGCCUCCCGAAAACAUGUCCCCCACCCCUGUCAGCUUAGCAGGGAUGAGUAUAAUGAUUACACCCCCUGCCAGAGUACGGUGUGUGUUUUUUAUUUCCUUUCAAGGGCUCAAUGCUGGGCUGGGCAGCUAUGGCAGUCUCUCUCGACCAUUUGUUCCUGCAGCUGCCCACUCUCAGCACUGGGUAGCUGGGGUGCCCGUUCUGGGGGUGGUGGCCCACGCUCGCUUGGCAAAGGUGCUAGGGUGGUGCUUUGGCAAAGGGCUCUGAGGUGCUGGA
Podarcis raffonei (Aeolian wall lizard) is the source of this 5182-nucleotide long non-coding RNA. RefSeq lists it as uncharacterized. The transcript is spliced from 3 exons. The record is from RefSeq and is a predicted model, not a curated record. NCBI's taxonomy places the organism in Eukaryota, Metazoa, Chordata, Lepidosauria, Squamata, Lacertidae.